This 253-nucleotide ribosomal RNA is filed under the name uncultured bacterium. Its description in RNAcentral is "partial 16S ribosomal RNA". It matches the Rfam family "Bacterial small subunit ribosomal RNA", at positions 524 to 776 of the family's 1533-position model. The record is from RNAcentral.
UACGAAGGGGGCUAGCGUUGCUCGGAAUCACUGGGCGUAAAGCGCACGUAGGCGGAUUUUUAAGUCAGGGGUGAAAUCCUGGAGCUCAACUCCAGAACUGCCUUUGAUACUGGGAAUCUCGAGUCCGGGAGAGGUGAGUGGAACUCCGAGUGUAGAGGUGAAAUUCGUAGAUAUUCGCAAGAACACCAGUGGCGAAGGCGGCUCACUGGCCCGGUACUGACGCUGAGGUGCGAAAGCGUGGGGAGCAAACAGG